CUGUAGCUUUCCGGCUCGCGAAAGGGAGGACCUGUCUGGGUCAUGGAUUUUGAGAAUCUUUUCUCAAAACCCCCCAACCCGGCCCUCGGCAAAACGGCCACGGACUCUGACGAAAGGUGAUCCCCUUGUGCUUUACAUGAAAUAAAUCAUUUAAUCCUCAAAACAAACUUAAAGAGAAGAUGAUGCCGUCCUCGUUUUACAGAUGGGAAAACUGAGGCACGGAGAGGCUAAAUAACCUGCCGAGAUUGCACAAUAAUCGAUGAUGAAAUAGAUACAGAAGUUGAAGAAACACAAGAAGAUAAAAUUAAACUGGAGUGUGAGCAAAUUCCCAAAAAAUUUAGACACUCUGCAGUAUCACCAAAAAGUUCGCUGCAUAGAAAAUCAAGAAGUAAGGACUAUGAUGUAUAUAGUGAUAAUGAUAUCUGCAGUCAGGAAUCAGAAGAUAAUUUUGCCAAAGAGCUUCAACAGUACAUACAAGCCAGAGAAAUGGCAAAUGCUGCUCAACCUGAAGAAUCUACAAAGAAAGAAGGAGUAAAAGAUACCCCACAGGCUGCUAAACAAAAAAAUAAAAAUCUUAAAGCUGGUCACAAGAAUGGCAAACAGAAGAAAAUGAAGCGAAAAUGGCCUGGCCCUGGAAACAAAGGAUCAAAUGCUUUGCUGAGGAACAGUGGCUCACAGGAAGAGGAUGGUAAACCUAAAGAGAAGCAGCAGCAUUUGAGUCAGGCAUUCAUCAACCAACAUACAGUGGAACGCAAGGGAAAACAAAUUUGUAAAUAUUUUCUUGAAAGGAAAUGUAUUAAGGGAGACCAGUGUAAAUUUGAUCAUGAUGCAGAGAUAGAAAAGAAAA
This 847-nucleotide small RNA is filed under the name Pan troglodytes (chimpanzee). RNAcentral's name for it is "processed transcript". The record is from RNAcentral. Lineage: Eukaryota; Metazoa; Chordata; Mammalia; Primates; Hominidae.